Molecule: ribosomal RNA, 90 nt
Filed under: Citrobacter freundii
Lineage: Bacteria; Pseudomonadati; Pseudomonadota; Gammaproteobacteria; Enterobacterales; Enterobacteriaceae
Description: partial 16S ribosomal RNA
Rfam family: Bacterial small subunit ribosomal RNA (bases 1-80)
Source: RNAcentral
UUACCACUUUGUGAUUCAUGACUGGGGUGAAGUCGUAACGAGGUAACCGUAGGGGAACCUGCGGUUGGAUCACCUCCUUACCUUAAAGAA